CAGGAUCAUGUGUGUCCAGCUCUGUGUCUCUGAAGAGUGACCGGUCAAAAGAAGAGUAUCCACCAGACUUCAGUGAGAAAACACCAUCAUCUGCACAAAGUGUGAGAUCAGGAUCAUGUGUGUCCAGCUCUGUGUCUCUGAAGAGUGACCGGUCACGACAAGAUUAUCCACCAAACUUCAGAGAGGAAACACCAUCAUCUGCUGAAAGUGUUGAAUAUGAGUCAGCAGAUUCAGGAGACAAG
This is a non-coding RNA of Danio rerio (zebrafish), 242 nucleotides long. The record is from RefSeq and is a predicted model, not a curated record. NCBI's taxonomy places the organism in Eukaryota, Metazoa, Chordata, Actinopteri, Cypriniformes, Danionidae.